Molecule: long non-coding RNA, 7343 nt
Organism: Orcinus orca (killer whale)
Lineage: Eukaryota; Metazoa; Chordata; Mammalia; Artiodactyla; Delphinidae
Exons: 4
Source: RefSeq, a predicted model, not a curated record
GUUGAAGGUCAAAUGUAAUCUUGACUCAAAGCCAUCCUUUGAGGACCAACAUAGAAUAUGAAUAAGUAAAUUCCUGCCGCAUGUAAGAAGUCCACUUUUUUUUUUUUUUUUUUUGGCCAUGCCGGAUUGCAGGAUCUUAAUUCCCCAACCAGGGCUCGAAUCCGGGUCCCCUGCAGUGGAAGCGUGGAAUCCUAACCACUGGACUGCCAGGGAAUUCCCAAGAAAUCCACUUUUGAGUCUGAAUGGUGGUAGAAGGAAAAAGCUUUGGGCCCAACAGAGCCUGGGUUCAGAGCACAGGCUUUGUGCCCUGAGUCCUCAUCUGUAAAAUGGGCAGGGUUUCGUUCUAAAUCAUGAUGGGUGUAUAGGGACCGGCACAUACACACCAUUAACAAACAUACUGACCCACGCCUGGAUAGGGAAACAAGUCCCACCGAAUGGGAUUUUUAAGCUAAAGACUCAGACACCUAAGCAUCAUGUGAGCUGUGAGGGAGAAAUAAUGGCACGGAUAGGAAACAUUUGCAAAUGGAGCUGGGAUGGAAAAAAUAACCCCAGGGGAACUGAGCCCACGGAGACAAGGUGCACCUCAGCUUCUGGGACGGCAGCCUACUCAGAUCAGGGUCCCAUCCUCUUGGGUACCCUCUGAACCUAGGGGCUGUUAGCCACGUAGGGCCUGAGCUGAGCAAUGAGAAUCAGUUUCAGCUGCCUUUCAAAGUCAGCAGAAGCACUGUGCUCGGAGCCCUGAACCCCGGGUCACACCCAGGGACGAGGUUUUAAUUCAUUCUGCUCCUCCAGUCCGCUCACGGCACUGUCGUGAUUCACCGUGUGCAGCUGGCUCUCUUCAGAACCUCUUUUGCCCGCUUGCCUUUACAUGCAGCACGGAGCUGUGUUUUUGUUUACUGACCCCCACCAUAUGCUCGGCACUGGGGGAGGAGAGCACGAGGCGGCUAAAAGAUGGGGAAACUGAGGCUUGGAGAGGUGAACUUGCCCUAGGUUGCCCAGCGUGUGAACGUGAAUGUAGGCAGCCUGGCUCCAGAGGAACGGAAAAUGUGGUCCCAUCAGAAGACAAACAGAUCAGUAACCAAUUUUGCUCCCUUUGGACAGCAAGCCCCGCCCACAAUGGGGGUGGGGUGGGCAGGAGGGCUGUUAACUCACUUCCAAGAGACCUGGAUUAAUUUCCCCACCACAUCCCCCCAGGGUAAGGCCUGCCCUGGAAGGGAGAGACCACCCGGUUAAAGCCUGGCCAUCCGAUCUGGUAUCUGCCCAUCUGUCUGUCUGUCUGUCUGUGGGAUCAACAGCCUCCAGCCAGCUCAGCUCCUCGCCAGCCCCAGCCCCAGCCAGCUGUAAUUCCUGCCUGUUACAAGUGUUAACACCUGGCCUGGGGCCUUCCUCCCCCGCAGUCUCCAGGUGCCUCCCUGGGCCCAGCCCACUGACCCCCACGGGGUUUGACUGAACAUGUUCGCAAGCCUCUGAAAGGCGGGUGGAGGUGGGAGUGGGUGGGGGAGGCAGCGGGACAUCGGACAGAUGGGGAAACUGAGGCAGGACUUAGGGCAAGUGCUCGAGUGGGGAAAUGGCUCCCAGGAUGGUGGAGAGAGAACUCAGCUGUUAUUGCCCAGCUCACUGCCCUUGACUUCUGCGGAGCACUUUCACCCAAGCUGUGAAGCAGGGGCAGGCUGGUGAUUCCUGAGUAAGGAAACAGAGACCCAGAGGGAUGUGUCCCACAGAGGGGGGCUCCCGACCCCCAGCACAGGCCCCUUCCAUCAGGGCCUCUGCCUCCGGAAUGCAGCAGGCACUAGGCUGGGCCCUAAUAAGAUCGUUCAUUUUUCCCCCAGGAAGGAAAAGAAAGACAAGUUCCUCUACCAGGCGCUAACUGGGACUGACAAGAAGAAUUAUAGAAAUCAGUGCUGCUGCCACUGCUUCCUGUCCCAGCUCCGCCACUACCUGGCUGCGAGGCCCUGGAACGUGUCUCUUCCUUCCAUGAGCCUCUGUCUGAGGCCCCUUGUAGCUCAGGCUUCUGGUCUACCUUCUCUCAGGGCUGGGGCCUGAGCAGCACAGAACGCUUGGGAUGGGGGUGCCCUCCUUGAGGGGUGAUGGGGGCAGAAAUCCCAGCUGAACUAUUUCCCCCUAAAGUCUCUCCUAGGGAAUGUGUGAGCUGGGAGGGCCAAAGAGCGCAGGCCGUGAUGGGCUAAAGAACUGGUAUCUGGCUGCCCUGGGGGCAGAGCAGGAAUAGGAAUCUGAGGCCCCUCUACUCUACUGUCACUGUCCCAGCCCUGGCCCCCUGCCCUGGCCCCGAGAACAUGACACCCACCACCCUAGCUCCAAGCCCAAAGACAAACGGUGUAAGAGGGGAGGGCUGGUGACCACAGUCCUCAGACAGACAGGAUGAGCUUGUGCCAAAGAAGGCUCUGUGCCGUCCCCCUUCUCCAUGCUGCCCAGCCCUGGAUCCCAGGUCACUGUGGCCCUUGCAGCUUCCUCAUUAGACCCUUGUCUGUGUCUGCUGGACUGUCCCUCCAGGACCAUGGACGCCCACCAAGCACCCAAGUUUGGGAUGUCGUUCACACUUACAGGUCAUAUGUCUGCGAACCUAUCCAUAGCCAUGGGCCCAGCCAUGGUCACUAGCACUUGAGGACAGGGUCACAGGCAAACUCAGACAUAGCCCUCGCCACACUCGUACUCACAAUCAGCUCAUGGCCAUGAGCACUGAUAUCCAUGCACAGAGACAUCUGUGGAGCUCUCCCCUCAUACAAUCAUGAAGACACGUGCACGCAUGCAGACGUGCGCGCGUGCAGACGCACGCACACACACACACCCCGCUCACAUGCCUGGUCAUGAACAUAGUCAUGUGGUGUCAUAAGCAGACACAGGUGCUGACCUUUACAUGGGCAUAGAUACUUGUAGACUUUCUCUGUCUCAUACACACACGCUCACAUAGAAUCAACCACUUGCUGACACUCGUGUGCAGACACACAGUACACCCUGUCACGGGCCAUGGGACCCUCAGGCACGUCUCACACAAGUUCACGUCCACAGUCAUCCAGUUGCAGGUACAGACACUCCUUCACACAGAGGCACACUAGUGUACAGAUGACACUCCUUAGGGUCAGAGACCUACACACACACACACACACACACACACACACACACACACACACACACUGCUCAGACAAAGCAGCAUCCCUGUCCCCGCCAACCCCAAACAAGCCAUGUGUCCAGCAUUAUGUUAGGGCCAAUGUCCUGGCUUUCCAGGUUUUUCCAACAUCUUCCUAUUGGGUGGUCCCUAUCGGGAUGCUCCCCAAUACACCAUUACACAGCAGACCCCCCAACCACCAGCAUUGACCCCGGAAGUGCUCUUGUCCAGUUCAUAGGAUAGGGGAAGCUGGUCUUCCCCCCUUGCUUCCUGCAGCCUAUGGGGCUCCAAGCCCUCUCCUCCCACCCUCCCCGCCCACCCCCAAGGUCCCUGUGGAAGAAGAGAACAGCAUGGCCUUGGGCGGGGGAUGGCAAGAGGGUCGGGAAGGGCCAGGGGGCAGGAUUGGUUUCUGCAGCAGCCUUCCUCGCAACUGGCAAAGUCCCCAACCUGGCAUCCCUGGCUGCCCCGGCCACCCUGGGGACUUCUUUAUGUACAGGAGGCCUCAGGCCAGCCCAUCGCCACGGGGAAGGAAGGGCUGGGCAGAAGAAAGACCUCCCCUUGGAUGUCUGUCCUGGGAGCAACUCUCAGUACCCUCUAAAUGGAGACCCUUGGCCAUACCCUGCUCUUAUUCCCAUCCUGACCCCCCCAAACACCCAGACACAAAUGCUGCCACCCCCAAACAGCUGCAGGCAGACUCGGGGUGUGGCCCCAAAUCUCCUUGCUCUGCUGCCCCUAUCCCAAGCUGGGCAAAGGGUGGUUAAGGGAAAGGGGGACACGCAGGUGGCACUCCUCUCUGACUUUCAUUCCAGGGCCACAGUCCCUCUGCUAACUCACAGAUCCCAAAUUCUUCCUCCUCACCUUCCACACCCCCCCACCCCCUGGCCGAGCCUCUCCUACAUCCAGGAGGGGAAGAUUCUUUAAUUAAAGUUUUCCGGAAUGCAGGGGGCUGGAGACUGAGGAGAGGCGGGGUGUAAUUUAGAGAACUGGUUUCAGUGUGUCUUUCCCCUCUGGCCUCUGGGACCUGCUGGGUGUCGAUGAGGCCGCUUGGAAAACAAGGGGACUCCCUGGAACUGGGGCUCCCAAAGGGCUGUUUACUCCACGGCCAGUUCCCCCACACACGCACAGCCCCCACCCGGCCCCCGCCAAAACACCGCGCCUGGUUUCCCAGCCUUAUUUACUAAAAAUGUCUUUUGUAUCCACAUUUCUCGGGGACCGGGAUCCUCCUCUCCCUCUCUCCCUUUCUCCUCGGUCCUCGGGUUUUUCCAAAAGGAACGAAUUUGACAUGGAGAAUUGGGUUUUUGGUCAAAGAACAAACCCACCCCCUCCCAAACAACUACAUUUUCAAGAAGCCCCGCUUUUGCCAGGAUGGACAAGCAAGAAAUGAAUUAAAUCUGAAUUCAAUGGCAUCUCGGAUCAGCAAAUACCAUAUUCACUUCUGAGGCUCCAGAUUCAUCUAGAGCAGAGUGGGGAGAAUCUGAUGAAAUCCACCCCCCACCCCCCUGCCCUGGGGGAUCCCUGAAGCGACUGGGGUCUAAAAUCUGAAGGCACAGGGGGGUUAUUGUGGGGAAAUCUCCUGAGGGAGGCGCCGGAGGAGGUGAGGGUGGCAAUGAAGGAACAGGAUGAUUUUGCCCAUGAAGACCCCAAAAUGGAGAAGAGGAGUGGCUGGGCCCCAGGGACAUCGCUGGAUUUCCAGAAAGCCAACUGCAAGCAAAUGGAGGGUCUUCGGGGCCCCCAGACUGGGACGGGUGGAGGGUUAGGAUCUAAGAAUGAGAGACAUUCUGAGACGGGGAAAGUCCUCCAGCCUCUGCAGCGAGUAGCAGGGAAAAUGGUGAUUAUCAGAGAAACCAGGAGUUGGAUUCUGAAGGCGACACCAGCAGAAAAUCCAGGGAGGUGGGCGAGUCGGGGUGCUGGAGGGAGGUAAGAAGAAAGGAGCCCCAGCCCUGCCGCAGCCCACCCCCAGCUAGCGCCCCCCACCUCCCUGGGGCUCCGCGGAGAAAUCUGGCCGCGGGCAGAUAAGAGGCGAGUCUUACCACCAAAUUGGGUAGCCGGCGAGGACCCUGGUGCCACAGAGCAGGAGGCCGAGGAGCAGCCCGAGCAGGUGGGGCUCCAUUAGAAGCGGCGCCGAGGAGGAAGUUUGCCCGCGACCAUGAAGAGGGGGAGCGACGCCCCCAAUAGUUGGAACAAAGUCCACUUGAGAUUGGAAAUGACUUUCGGGCUUGUCAGAAGCGCACCUCCACCCGCAGCUGCCCCCCUCCCGAGCCCAGCGCGGAGCAGCCGGGUUUGAGGAUGUCAGCGAGCAGCCAAUCAGCGCCCGCGGCCUAAGGUGGCUCCCCUGGGAGAGUGGGCCGCGCCACAGACGCAGGACGCCCGAGAUGCAGGGCGCGGGCGCGGGCGGGGUGAUGUGAGGCCCCGGGCUCCCACUCCUGGGCAUCAGGCGGGUUCCGUGCAGCUGCCUCAACCUUGUGUCGAGACACGGAAGGCUGCAAACGGCAGGGUGAUGUCACUGAGUCCUUCCUGGCCUGGCCCACCAGCACCCCAAGAUCACAGGUGCCACCUGUGGGGCGGUAAGGGGUUUUCCCUGUCCCAGUAGUUCCUCCUGUCUUAGUCAUCUCUAGUUCCCCAAGGGCAUUUUGGAAAGGGAUUUGGGGUCAAAGUCCUUUAGAAGGGAGGGCACAACAGAAAAAUGGGCUGGGGGCACCCCUGGCCAGCUGCCUGUUAUCUCUGAGCCUCCUCUGUGCCAUCCGAGGUGGAGACAAUACUUUAUAUCUCAUAGGGAGUUGUCAGCGUUAAAUGAGAACCGUGCUGACAGAACGCCAGACUGAGGAUGGCGAAUAAUAAAUACUGGGUUUCUUUCUUCUCCUCUUAGGGGCUGAGGAGUAAGUGGCUGUCUUGGGUUGCUUUUUCUGCUCCUGUCAGCCUCAGCUAAGCAGCUCCUCAGGCGCCCAGGAGCCUCUGCCAGAAGGAUUUGUUCAGGAAAAUCUUGUUUGACACCCCAACUUGAGACCCACCUCAAAAUCUCCUUUUCGGCGAGACCCUCAGCCCCAUCCUCCUAGCUGCUCCCCCACCUUGUUCCUCUGGGCCUCUUACUCCACUUUAUUUUUCUGCAUAGCCCUAAACACUGACCUUGUAUUUCAUAUAUUCCAUAUUGAAUGUGUCUGUUAAGUUGCCCAUUUAAUGUUGUCUCUUUCCUACUCGAAAAUCUCAGUUCUGCUGAAGGCCCAACACCCAGAGCGGGAUCUGGCCCAGGCCCCUAAUAAACGCCGCCGAUGACUGGCUGAGGGAGUAAGGGGGGAGGCAGCGGCUGAGGCCUCAGAUGGGGGACCAUUGUCUGAGGUCCUUAUGGCCCUUUGGGGUCCCCAUCUUGAGAUCUUGGCACCUAGAAUUCGCCACUCCCCCCUAGCUACCCUACUCCGGCUUUGGCACCUGCUUCCCCCUCAGAUGACACCUGCACUGCCCCAAGCGGGCUGAGAUCAGGGGUUGGCAGCCUGUCGGGAAGUUACCACAACACAGGACACCUGGGGCUUGGUGGGCCUCGUGCUGCCAGCCCCCAUCUCUGCCCCCUCUUUCCCUCCCCCACUUUCCGUUUCUUCCAACUCUUCGGUCUUUUUCCAUCCUUCAUUAUUCUGCCUUUGCCUCCAAGCCCUGAGCCCACACCCAGACAUGACUGGGCCUGCCUGAGGCCUUGGGGCUCUAACCCAAGGCCCAUUCCUGCCGGGGGAAGUGCUUCUUCCUUGAGGAAGUCGAGCCAGACCUCUGCGUGGCUGUCUGUGCGUGGCUGACGUAGUUUCUCUUGGUCCCAGUGUUCUUUCCAUUCCCCAGUGGGUGAGACAUAACCAGGAAGGGGAGCCCCAGAUGCAACCCAGGAACCAUCUCUGCUUUCUUCUGUCUCCAACCUCAGCCAGGCUGUGGCCCCCUUUCACCUGGGCUUCAGGGCAGGAAAGUGUUUCCGUUUUUCCCAUCACCCACAAACACAUACUUUCCGCCUGCUGUGGGCAAAGCCUGAGGCCAAGCUCUGGGGGAGGAAUGGUCCAUCCUCAAGGGGACCCCAGGAGCACAGUAGGUGCUCUAUGUGCACAGGGUGGGGGGAUGGCUCAUUCAUUCAACACAUUUUCAUAGAGCACAGGGUAAGCGCUGAUGACCAAAAACUGUCCAGGCCUUGCCAUCUGUGGGAGACACAGUUUUCCAACAGAAGAUCAAAUAAAUAUUUCCUUUAAACCAA